GACACACCCCGUCCCGAAGGAGGGCAUGCUAGCCGUCACGUGAGAGUGACGUAACCAUUUGCACAGUACGGAAGCUUUAAGAUACAAUUUAUAAGUUGAUACACCCGAAUGUGAGUCCUAAUUUUGUCCAAUCUGUCAGAACACCGUCGAAUUCCUCGUAGUCACCACACCUUUGUGAUUCUUGAACCUGGAGGGGCGCAAAACCAAAAUUGAGUGGGUCAGUAAAACAAUUCUUUUCCAAAACCAAACAUUUCUCAAAACGUUGUAACCCCUCUCCGUAAAACUUGUAUACUUUCCCAGAAAUGUAAAAUAUAAAUAUACAUAUAUAUUCUCAAAACUUCAUUUUUACUAUCUCAACAUUUUUCUUUAUCAAUCAUGCCAUGCCAUGUCUAAUUCAACAGUUAAGUAUGGAUGCAUCAACAAUAAUCAUAUCAGGUGCAAGAAAGAAAUCAACCGGAGGCCCUCUAAUAGCCCUGUACGGUUGAACCUAGAGCUCAAAAUCUAUCACUCUCACUCUGCCGGAGUCACCUCUGUGACCUGUACGGCCUUCUGCACACAAGUUACGCUCUAGUGCUUUCUCAUCAAUCAUCUGUGCACAUAAUCUAAGGUCACCCACCAGUCGAAAUCUCACUAACACUCUACGACUGGCCCGUCGCACCCACUCCGCGUGGACUGUGCGACCAGCAUCUACUUGGAUCCAAGGCGAGCGUGCGAUGCGGUGAAUACUAUAAGCACUAAACCAUGGUGCAGGAUUUGAGCUCAAUAUACAUCAACAUCAUCAUAACAGUAAUUAAAUACUCACCUGAUACUCACCUGUGCGUCCGCCGCACCAUUCAUUCAUAUGCAUCAUAUCUCAAUUCAUACUUUUCAUAUCAUUUCAUGCAUGGCAAUUCGAUUCACAUUUCUAUAUACUUUUCAUAUCAUUUCAUGCAUGGCAAUUCGAUUCACAUUUCUAUAUACUUUUCAUAUACUUUUAUGCAUGGCAUCUCAAUUCACAUUUCAAUAUACUUUUCAUAUAAUUUUAUACAUUGCAUUUAAAGCAUACUUUCAUUAAAUUUCAAUUUCUGGGAAAACGUCAAGUAUAUAUAUAUACGGAAAACAAAACUGCCCACUCACCUGGAGUUCGCCCUACAACUCCCUAGCACAAUACGUCAAGGCGUCAUGACGAUCGCCGCCUAGAACAGUAAUCAAAUCCAACCUCAGAAUUCAUAUCGAUAGAAUAUAUAACUUAUAUAAAAUACGUCACUACGU
RNAcentral lists this long non-coding RNA (1251 nucleotides) under Malus domestica (apple). Its description in RNAcentral is "long non-coding RNA (MDOM_LNC015836)". Lineage: Eukaryota; Viridiplantae; Streptophyta; Magnoliopsida; Rosales; Rosaceae. The record is from RNAcentral.